Molecule: long non-coding RNA, 236 nt
Filed under: Homo sapiens (human)
Lineage: Eukaryota; Metazoa; Chordata; Mammalia; Primates; Hominidae
Description: LNC_000871
Source: RNAcentral
CACCCUCUCGGUGCCAGCUCACAGCUGAAGGGUCUGCUCCUCGCUGUCGCUGUCACUGCCUUCCAGCUGCUCCAGGAUCUCGUCCAACACCACAGACCGCUUUUUCUUCGGGGGCUCGUGAAAGUGAGCGGCCGUCUUCCGCCGCAGGGCCUGCAGGGUCACCUCGGAGUCGGCCCACUCCAGCACCAGCCUCCGCCCGUACAAGUGGGUGCUGUGACACAGGGCGUUGAAGGCUC